UCGUGCGCGAAAGUCCCCUUCGGGGGGCGAGUAGAGCGGCGAACGGGUGAGUAACACGUAAGCAACCUGCCUCCAAGUUCGGGAUAACCUUGCCAACGCGGGGCUAAUACCGGAUGUGGUCACGAAUCCGCAUGGUUUUGUGACUAAAGCUGACCUCUGCUUGCACGUUAGCGCUUGGAGAUGGGCUUGCGGCCCAUUAGCUUGUUGGUGGGGUAAUGGCCUACCAAGGCGACGAUGGGUAGCCGACCUGAGAGGGUGAUCGGCCACAUUGGGACUGAGAUACGGCCCAGACUCCUACGGGAGGCAGCAGUAGGGAAUUUUGCGCAAUGGACGAAAGUCUGACGCAGCGACGCCGCGUGAGCGAUGAAGGUCUUCGGAUUGUAAAGCUCUGUUGAGUGGGAAGAAAACCUUCGGGGACAAUACCCUCGGAGCUUGACGGUACCACUCGAGGAAGCCCCGGCUAACUACGUGCCAGCAGCCGCGGUAAUACGUAGGGGGCUAGCGUUGUUCGGAAUCACUGGGCGUAAAGGGAGUGUAGGCGGGAAGGUAAGUUAGGAGUUAAAUUCACAGGCUUAACCUGUGGCCUGCUCUUAAUACUGGCUUUCUUGAGUAUGGGAGAGGGUGAUGGAAUUCCAGGUGUAGCGUUGGAAUGCGGUAGAUAUCUGGAAGAACACCCAGUUGCGAAGGCGGUCAGCUUGGCACCAAUACUGACGCUUGAGGCUCGAAAGCUAGGGGAGCGAACGGGAUUAGAUAGCCCUGGUAGUCCUAGCCGUAAACGAUGGGAUAUUAGUUGCUGGAGGAGUCAAUCCUUUCAGUGACGAAAGUUAACGCGAUAAGCACCCCGCCUGGGAAUUACGGUCGCAAGGCUAAAACUCAAACGAAUUGACGGGGCCCCGCACAAGCAGCGGAGCGUGUGGUUCAAUUCGAUGCUACACGAAGAACCUUACCUGGGUUUGACAUGUACGUGGUACGAAGGCGAAAGCCUAAGGACCCUUCGGGGAGCGUACACAGGUGCUGCAUGGCUGUCGUCAGCUCGUGCCGUGAGGUGUCGGGUUUAAGUCCCGUAACGAGCGCAACCCUUGCCCUUAGUUACAAGUGUCUAAGGGGACUGCCGGCGGGAAGCCGGAGGAAGGUGGGGAUGACGUCAAGUCAGCAUGGCCCUUAUGUCCAGGGCUACACACACGCUACAAUGGUCAGUACAAGGGGUAGCGAAGUCGCGAGGCGGAGCGAAUCUCAACAAAGCUGAUCGUAGUUCGGAUUGCAGGCUGCAACCCGCCUGCAUGAAGCUGGAGUUGCUAGUAACCGCGCGUCAGCCAUAGUGCGGUGAAUACGUACCCGGGGCUUGUACACACCGCCCGUCACGUCAUGGGAGUCGGUAACGCCUGAAG
This 1388-nucleotide ribosomal RNA is filed under the name uncultured organism. RNAcentral's name for it is "partial 16S ribosomal RNA". It matches the Rfam family "Bacterial small subunit ribosomal RNA", at positions 62 to 1426 of the family's 1533-position model. The record is from RNAcentral.